RNAcentral lists this ribosomal RNA (970 nucleotides) under Salmonella enterica. Its description in RNAcentral is "partial 23S ribosomal RNA". It matches the Rfam family "Bacterial large subunit ribosomal RNA", at positions 1215 to 2167 of the family's 2925-position model. The record is from RNAcentral. Lineage: Bacteria; Pseudomonadati; Pseudomonadota; Gammaproteobacteria; Enterobacterales; Enterobacteriaceae.
GAUGCGUUGUUGGGUAGGGGAGCGUUCUGUAAGCCUGUGAAGGUGGCCUGUGAGGGUUGCUGGAGGUAUCAGAAGUGCGAAUGCUGACAUAAGUAACGAUAAAGCGGGUGAAAAGCCCGCUCGCCGGAAGACCAAGGGUUCCUGUCCAACGUUAAUCGGGGCAGGGUGAGUCGACCCCUAAGGCGAGGCCGAAAGGCGUAGUCGAUGGGAAACGGGUUAAUAUUCCCGUACUUGGUGUUACUGCGAAGGGGGGACGGAGAAGGCUAUGUUGGCCGGGCGACGGUUGUCCCGGUUUAAGCGUGUAGGUGUGUAUUCCAGGUAAAUCCGGUUCACUUUAACACUGAGGCGUGAUGACGAGGCACUACGGUGCUGAAGCAACAAAUGCCCUGCUUCCAGGAAAAGCCUCUAAGCAUCAGGUAACAUCAAAUCGUACCCCAAACCGACACAGGUGGUCAGGUAGAGAAUACCAAGGCGCUUGAGAGAACUCGGGUGAAGGAACUAGGCAAAAUGGUGCCGUAACUUCGGGAGAAGGCACGCUGACACGUAGGUGAAGUGAUUUACUCAUGGAGCUGAAGUCAGUCGAAGAUACCAGCUGGCUGCAACUGUUUAUUAAAAACACAGCACUGUGCAAACACGAAAGUGGACGUAUACGGUGUGACGCCUGCCCGGUGCCGGAAGGUUAAUUGAUGGGGUCAGCGCAAGCGAAGCUCCUGAUCGAAGCCCCGGUAAACGGCGGCCGUAACUAUAACGGUCCUAAGGUAGCGAAAUUCCUUGUCGGGUAAGUUCCGACCUGCACGAAUGGCGUAAUGAUGGCCAGGCUGUCUCCACCCGAGACUCAGUGAAAUUGAACUCGCUGUGAAGAUGCAGUGUACCCGCGGCAAGACGGAAAGACCCCGUGAACCUUUACUAUAGCUUGACACUGAACAUUGAGCCUUGAUGUGUAGGAUAGGUGGGAGGCUUUGAAGUGUGG